UUCUACAACCAGAGGCUGUACCCAGACUGUCACAUAGAAGAUCCCUCCAGUGCCUCAUCAGUAUCUUCUUCACAGUAACUGUUGCCACAGUGUAUUUUUAAUCUUUAUUUUUUUAUUGGAAUGUCAAUUUAAAAAUUGCUGUGAUUUUAGAACAUGUAAGCUGAAAGGCUCAGCAGAAUGUGGUUCAGGACCAUGUUGCAGAUCAAACUGUGAGAUAUGUGAUAAUUUUGGUAAUUGCCAAUGCUUUCCAGACCACAGGCCCCCAGACUGUGAAUUCCGUCUUAGUUCACCAGGGGGCAGUAUUGACGAUGGAAAUGUUCAGAAAUCAGGAAUGCAUCCACUGCACCAGAAAGCUACCACGUGGAAUAUGAAGACUGCCAAGGUCGCCAGCAAAUGGCCUAAAGAAGAAAAUGAGCUUUAUAACCCUAAAGUCCCGCCCCAAAUACAGUUUAUAAAAUAAAGCUGUGAGUCCUCGGAGCAAACUGAUGGGUCAGCCAGGACCGCGGGCUGGGUGGGGGGCGGGAGGAACCAGGCUCAGGACCAGGAACCGCA
This 552-nucleotide long non-coding RNA is filed under the name Heterocephalus glaber (naked mole-rat). RNAcentral describes it as "lncRNA (ENSHGLG00000031574.2)". The record is from RNAcentral. Lineage: Eukaryota; Metazoa; Chordata; Mammalia; Rodentia; Bathyergidae.